Molecule: RNA transcript, 2557 nt
Organism: Ananas comosus (pineapple)
Lineage: Eukaryota; Viridiplantae; Streptophyta; Magnoliopsida; Poales; Bromeliaceae
Gene name: zinc finger BED domain-containing protein RICESLEEPER 2-like
Exons: 5
Source: RefSeq, a predicted model, not a curated record
GGAUCUGAUAAAGAGCGGAUCGGGUUGCGGGUGCUACGAUCGCCCCUCCUCCGCCGCCGCCUCCGCCGCUCGCCGGAGCUCCGCCGCUCGCCGGAGAUCGUAUACCCAGAAUGUCAGAACCGCCAAUAGCAGCUGCAGACGUGGCCGCUGGCACCACUACUGCAGUGGUACAGCCGCUGGCAGCUCACAACCCGCGAGCAAGAAAGCUCCGAUCUUUGGUGUGGAACGACUUCACAAAGGAGCGCCGGGCUGAUGGCAGCUUUGUUGCCAUCUGCAACCACUGCAAGAAGCAACUAACAGCGAGCAGCCGCAGCGGCACCACUCACCUCAAGAACCACCUGGGCAUCUGCCUCUCCACCAAGCGCACGCUCAAGCGCAAGAAGCUUGUCGUCCGCCGUCUCGUCCUCAAGUCCGUUGAUGCCAAAUCCGAUGCUGGGCCUGCCGCCGCCGACUCCCACUUUGAUCAAGAAGUUAGUCGCCAUGAUCUUGCUCGCAUGGUCGUUCAACAUGGCUACCCUUUCUCCAUCGUCAAUGAUGCCGGAUUUAGAAUGUUUGUUAAAAACCUCCAACCACAGUUCAAGAUAUUGUCCUACGAUGAGGUGAAGGCCGAUUGCAUGAGAAUAUAUGAAAUUGCAAGAAUCAGGUUGCAUGAGGUGCUUAACAAAAUUCCCUGCCGGGUGAGCCUCUCGAUUGAUACGUGGCAAUCCAACAGGGGGGAAGAAUUCUUGUGCCUGACAUGCCAUUACAUUGAUGAUGAGUGGAAGGUUAAGAAGAAGAUUCUCAACUUCCUACACAUCGAUGCUCCCUCUAUGACGUCAGAAGAGAUUGGCAGAAUGGUUCUGGAGAAGUUGCACGAGUGGGGCAUCAAUAAGAAGUUGGCGAGCAUCGUAUUGGAUAACUGUAGUAAUGGUGAAGCGGUUGGUAAAGAGCUUCUUGGAUCACUUCGGACAACAGGCUUCCUCCUUUUGAAUGGGGAUCUGUUGCAAGCCCAUGUUUGUGCACAUAUGUUGAAUCUCAUGGUACAGGAUAGCUUAGAAAUGGCAUCCGAAAUAGUUAACAAUGUCCGGGCGACCAUGCAUUAUGUGAAGUCUUCAGAAGAAACAUUUGCUAAAUUUCAGAAGGCAGCGAAACAGCAGAAGCCACUAGUGCUUGACUCUCCAAAUAAUUGGGCUUCCAUAUACUUAAUGCUCGACUCUGCGUGCCAAUAUGAAGCUGCAUUCUUGCAGUUGGCAGAAUGGGAUGCGGAGUACCCAGGCUUUCUGGCAUCGAAGGAUUGGGCUGAUGUCAAAGCCCUAACGGAGAUUCUCGAAGUUCUUUACCACACUAUGGAGAAAUUCCCAGCAGUAGAAAAGCCGACUAGUAAUCUUUAUUUCAAUGAGAUUUGUGGUAUCCAUUUGCUUCUGAAAACAUGGCGCACCAGUUCGUCUCCUGUUGUUGCGUCGGUCGCUUCGCAGAUGCUCAAGAAGUUUGAACAGUAUUGGGACUCCACCGGAAUGGUGAUGGCAUUUGCAUCUAUAUUAGAUCCUCGCUACAAGAUGAAGUCGGUUGAGUACUUCUUUAAGCUUAUUUAUAAUGAGCAAUAUGAAGUCAAGACAAAGAUCGAGAGUGUUCAUAAAAGUUUUAACAGCCUAUACAAUGAAUAUGCUGUUAGAUUAGCCAGCUCGUCAAAAAAUCAAGCCUUCCUCUGCUAUGUCGGGAACAGUAGUGGUUGCACCAUGAGUUCUAAUUAUGAAAAUGGGGGAGAAUCGAAGACCAUUUCUAGCAUUACUCUUUCUGAUGCUCAACGUGGGCUGGAUCAGUACCUUCAGGAAACAUCGUCUGGGCAACCGAUGAAAUCUGAUUUGGAUAUGUAUUUGGAGGAAGCCGUGUACCGCCCAAAAGAAGGCCUUCCAGAUAAUUUUGAUAUUUUGGGAUGGUGGAAAUCCUUUGCCGCAAAAUAUCCAGUCCUUUCUUUGAUGGCCCGUGAUAUUUUGGCGAUUCCUGUGUCAAUUUUACCAUUGGAUAGUGAAGCUACAACUCUCAACGACUAUUUCAGUGCCAUGGACCCUGUGACCAUAGAGGGCUUGGUAUGUGCACAAGAUUGGCUGCGAGAGGAAAUUGAAGCUACUCACGUGGAUGGUAAUGCUGAUCAGAGUAUGGUACCUUCAAAUGGAAAUGAAUAUUCUUCAUCACCAAAAUAGGAAAUCUGAUCGAGGUUUAUUGCCAUUUUCUAUUAAUCAGUAUUUGUCCCCAUAUAUCCUUCAUAGACUAGGGCUGAGUCUGAAAAAACCGUUCUCGGUAAAUGAUCAGCAUGAGAUGGAACAAGUGUAUUUCUAAUUUUUUUACUCUCCUAGUACUCUGUCUUGUAAAUUACAUUUUUUCUUUCUUUCUUUUUUCUUUUCUUUUCUUUCCUUUUUUUUUUUUUUUUUCCCCAAGAACAAAUACGUAUGUAAAAUCAUGUGUCAAGUGUAAUUUGGUAUUCUUCUGGAAUUACCUGCUUGGACAAUGUGGAAUAUAUUGAUUGAAACUGCUACAUGUGGAUAACAAGUGGUGUGAGGCAACAAGAAGCUAAAAUGAA